This 305-nucleotide ribosomal RNA is filed under the name uncultured bacterium. RNAcentral's name for it is "bacterial SSU rRNA". It matches the Rfam family "Bacterial small subunit ribosomal RNA", at positions 333 to 655 of the family's 1533-position model. The record is from RNAcentral.
UUUCGCCUACGGGACGCAGCAGUGGGGAAUAUUGCACAAUGGGGGGAACCCUGGUGCAGCGACGCCGCGUGAGUGAAGAAGUAUUUCGGUAUGUAAAGCUCUAUCAGCAGGGAAGAAAAUGACGGUACCUGACUAAGAAGCCCCGGCUAACUACGUGCCAGCAGCCGCGGUAAUACGUAGGGGACAAGCGUUAUCCGGAUUUACUGGGUGUAAAGGGAGCGUAGACGGCAGAGCAAGUCUGAAGUGAAAGCCCGCGGCCCAACUGCGGGACUGCUUUGGAAACUGCCCGGCUAGAGUGCUGGAGG